This 440-nucleotide ribosomal RNA is filed under the name uncultured bacterium. Its description in RNAcentral is "partial 16S ribosomal RNA". It matches the Rfam family "Bacterial small subunit ribosomal RNA", at positions 338 to 795 of the family's 1533-position model. The record is from RNAcentral.
CCUACGGGUGGCAGCAGUGGGGGAUAUUGCACAAUGGGGGGAACCCUGAUGCAGCGACGCCGCGUGGGUGAAGAAGCGCCUCGGCGCGUAAAGCCCUGUCAGCAGGGAAGAAAAUGACGGUACCUGAAGAAGAAGCCCCGGCUAACUACGUGCCAGCAGCCGCGGUAAUACGUAGGGGGCAAGCGUUAUCCGGAUUUACUGGGUGUAAGGGGGGCGCAGACGGCGAUGCAAGCCAGGAGUGAAAGCCCGGGGCUCAACCCCGGGACUGCUCUUGGAACUGCGUGGCUGGAGUGCAGGAGGGGCAGGCGGAAUUCAUGGUGUAGCGGUGAAAUGCGUAGAUAUCAGGAGGAACACCGGUGGCGAAGGCGGCCUGCUGGACUGCAACUGACGUUGAGGCCCGAAAGCGUGGGGAGCAAACAGGAUUAGAUACCCCAGUAGUC